CUCUACGACCACCGCACGCAAUCUCCCCUCCUCCUACUCGCUCUCGCCGCGCCGCUCCACCUAUCCGCUCUCCUUCGUUUAUGUGCGACGGCGGCGGCUGAUUGAUGUGGGACGUGGCGGUAGCGACGACGGCCUCAAGCAGGGAUAUGAGGAUGAAGGAAUAUUGUCCAAGAUCCCUGAGGAGCACGAGGUGGGGAGCCAGAAUAGAUCGGCGCCAGGGCGUGAGGACCAUGCCGUCAUCACGGCGAGCCCAAGCCAGCAUCCUAUUGGGCUUUCUGACGCGGUUCAGCAUCAUGGUGGCGCGGAGUAAGGCCUUCUUUGACUCCAGGUCGGCCGCAAACACGACAUCCAGAUGAAGCCCGGCUGUUCAGGCAUCUGGAUCGGCCGCUGCUCCCUCGCUGACUACGACGACGGGCUCAUCAACAUCACACACCAGAGCACCGUCAUCAUCGUAUCUAGAUCAUCGAUACUACCUCGUCGAAGUCACACGGGACCCAGUGCUUCACACUACCUCCAAAGCAUUCGAAGCAGGUGUCCGCGUACAUGGUAUAAUUGUCCCCUGCACAUAUAUCACCAUACAUUCAAAUGAAGAACGAAAGCGUCUAAAAGAUUCUGAAGCUUCAUUCUGGAAUUACAUGAAUCUGGGGCUGACUGAGGGAGAUCAAAAUGGUACUAGAUGGUAACAUUAGGUUGUAUGCCUGCAGUGAUGGUUAAUCAAGAUCGAUCAAAGGCUAUGUUCAGGCGUCGUUGUCGUGACUUGCUUGGCAUUACUCUGAUAUCCGUUAGGCAGUGGUAACCUUCUUUUGAUGGUUGUAGACACACAUCUUCAGUCACACGUACACCAUAUGAGGUAUUGAAUAACCUAUCCUCUCAUUUUUAUCGUCAUUGCCAUAACUUUUACCGGCUUCUCAUCAAAGUUCUUGCCUCUGAGCCCACUCUCUGCCAUGGUGUGCUGAUCUGCUCGUUUUACAUUAUGUGUUUGUUUGUCUGUUUGUGUGAACUUUCAGUUUUCCAGAAGUUUUUGUUAAAGCAUGCCACUUCUAUCUUUGUAUAUACUAUAAGCUAAACUCAAGUAGAAGUAGUAUUAUCCAGUUAUCUAUUUGCAAUUCAAUUAUUUAGUUAUUUUAGGAGCAUUAGUUCAUUGAUUUAAUGAAUUUUUUAGCACUCAAAACAGCAGGAGAGGCUCCCGCUGCUAUGUUUUAAAUUUUUGAGAAAUAAUUACAUAAUGCCUGUAUGCCCACCAAUUGGUGGCAGAAAUGGUCUUUUUUGUUGCGAAAGGGCAGAAAGGGAUUUACAAAUAAAACAAGGCCAAGUAUACAAAAAAUAUACAAGGGUAAGCAAGACUACAAAUAGGAAUGUAAGCUUGAAGUGAUGUGAUCAGGUCUUGAAGGUGUUCUUGAUUUUCAGUUCUGGCCUUGAACUUCAGAAUCCCUAGGUCUGAUGUUAGUGCUCUCUUCCAACUGAGCAAUAUGCAGAGCCUCUGGUACGCGGCUCUGUCGCCGCCACCUGCUACUUUAAGUCGGCCAACGGCCUCGCUGGAAACUGGGGCUUAUCCAUAUCCCGACUCAAUCUCCGCGUCGCCCUCCUCGCUGGUAUACAUGCAUCUCAUUCAGUCUGUUCGUUGUACAACUUGUAGUCUCCUCAAUCCAGAAGUAGGAAUUCACAGAAAAAAAUGCUUAUCUGAAUUCAGGUGUACAGCCAUAUAUUGUUGUGGAUUUUAGGUUGGAUGCUCACAUAAGAGGUGAUCUGAUUUUGCUAUCGCUCGUCUCUCCUUGUAGAUUUUUGCUCAUGCUCGGAUGUGUCCAAGUGUUGAUUUUUGUUCAUGUGUGGAAGCUGGACUAUGUCUAUAUGUACAUUUUUGUUCAUGCAAGAAUUUUUUAUUUGCUCAUUGCAUCAUGUUAUUAUCAUGUGUAGCUCGUCAUUUACCCAAAAUAUUGUUCUUCCAUUUGGGCAAGCUUUAGUUGCGGAUGCAUCUUUGCGUGCUUGUUCUGCUUGAGCCCGCCGCCUCGCCGUGAAGCCCUCUGCUGCAGCCUCUCACUUCACUGUCGACGACACUCUGCUUCAACCCGUCUCUGUCCAGUACCGGACAAACCUGUUGUAAAGGUCAUUAUUUUGUGCAUCUUUUGCUUCAUCAACUAGGGUUGAAAGGACUAAAAUUAUUCAAUUUUGUUACUAUAUAUCUGGUCAUAGAUAUUAUAACUACUAAAUAGUAUGACAUCCUUUUAAGAAACAAUUUUUUAUUUCUGUUUGACAUUGAUGUGCUUGUGAUUUGCUUUCCAGGUUAUUUUUCUUAAGAACUUAUUGGUUUACCUAUUCGAGAUUUGUUUCAUCAUGUUUUUAUACCCUGUCAUCAGGAUUUUCAUUUGUUCUUCUGCCAUACCAUCUAUGUUUGCUCUUUUUUUAACCUCAUGUCAGUUUCUUUUCUCAUAAGAGAUUAUAUUGCAGUUCUAUUUUCAUAUUAGUGAAAAGUUUUGCUGCUAACAAGUUAUUUGGGUGCCGAACUUUUUACUAAUGAAAAGCUUGGUAAGAAUAGAUUAUUGAUUUUUUAUCCCUUAAAUUUGACCAUUCUCAGGAAUAGAUUGGUGUACCAACUUAUUAACAUUGCCUUCCUCCUUGAACUUGCUACAACUCAGAAUGGUUAUGUGAAUGUGUUUCAUACCACAGUUUCUGAGCUUUCUUCUUUCUUACAAUGUCAAGUACAUCUUCACGAGACCACUCCCUGAAUUUAUUUGUUUUUCUGUUAUUGUUCUUUCUAUUAUUUCAAAUCUUGGUAACAGAAAGCAACAGAUGAUUUCACUCUGCAAUAGACACCUGCUUAAUAAGUAACAAUGCACACAACACCAACCUCGAUGAGUGCCCAAUCUGCUUCUCGGUCGGCCCCCAUUCCCUGAGUUGUUCCUCCAAUGGAUCCAUCAAUAGAUGGAUGCAGAAUUCUGACUACCGGUCAGUUCCCUUUCCCGAAUAUCUUGUUCCUCCAAUGGGUCCAUCAAUAGAUAGAUACAGAAAUCUGACUACCCCCCCCCCCCGCGCGCCUUGAUUGCAGUCUAGUGUUGCGCCAAUUGUAAGUCUCAUUGUUGGUCAAGGAUACAUGGUUGUUCUAAUUGCACAUGCAUCUUCAACGUUACCCUGGUUAUCGUUGUUUUCAGAAGCGGGAAUUGGUUUAACAAUUUACUCUCUUUUGAGAAAAUCGCUAGUUGCAGAACAUUUUAUUUCUGUAUCAUGUACUGUUUGGCAUUUUCCAUUUAAAAUGGAAGGAUUACCUCCUACACUGCAGGUUAUCUUAUUUGUUCUUAGUUAUUUGUUUCCAGUAAGCAUGAAUUGAAUGAUCACGUAAGCGAUACCACUUGAUAUUGUUCAAAAAAUGAAAGUAUGCCCUGACUGAAGAUUUUAGCUUUCUUUUUCUUCAGAAGAUAGAAGGUUUCUGGCUUGUUAACAACAAUAUAAGUUCUAUGAUCUGCUACCCUUGUAUAUUUUGUCUUUGGUUAGACCAGAAGUUAUUGACCUUGGUCAGUAGAUCACUCAGUUGUGGAUGAAAUGCUUCUUUCUAGAUGUUUAGUCCAUCAAGUACUAUGAAUCAUUUGGCUUCCAUUCAUGUUUUUUCAGACACUUGAGAUGGAGGCCUGAUUGUUGCAGUUUCAAUAGCUCAGGGAGCACCUCCUCGCUGGCAACCCCUUCGUCACCAAGCUUGUCGUGGAGUGCGUCGUGGGGUCAUCGCCAAUGUCUUCUUUAUUUUGAGAAGCAUCAUUCACCGCCUCUAGACAGGAUCGUCGGCGACCGCCACUGCCGCGUGUGGGAGCCAUGAACUCUGCCUUACCAUACAAGGAAUUGUGCCUCCACUUUUGGACAAUGUGCGAUAUGUAUACCAUUACCAAAACUGCUUACCCUUCCUUUUGAACCAGCUAGCAUAUAUGUAAUACAUAGUUUAACCAACUAUGCAGCUGAUUGCUACUUCUCCAAAUGAAACCUGCUUUCAACUCUAAUGAUCUGGAUUACUACUCAAGGGAUUUGGCAUGCUUUAUGGUCAUUGGUUAACAAGGUUCUCAGUUGUACAUGCAUGUGAGGCAGUAGAAAAAGAAAGAAGCAGCCGAAGGGGUGCCUCCUACCUGGCACCGCCCAGCUUUCUCCUAAGCGGUGCCACCGGGUGGCGCCCCAACUACUAGUAUAAUAACUACUGCUCCAUGACCUUUCAUCAAGAGGACGUGCCACUCUAAGGGCCUCUCAGGUCAUAGGAUUGGAGAACUACAUGACUAGAUAAUAUCUCACAUGCCGCUGUGGAAAUUGGUUGCAAUAUAUUACUUCAUAAGAUUUGAUUGUGUGAAAUUUGAGGAUGAGAAUGAAGACAAAAUACAUUU
RNAcentral lists this ribosomal RNA (4352 nucleotides) under Triticum aestivum (bread wheat). Its description in RNAcentral is "partial small subunit ribosomal RNA". The record is from RNAcentral. Lineage: Eukaryota; Viridiplantae; Streptophyta; Magnoliopsida; Poales; Poaceae.